UAGGGAAUCUUCGGCAAUGGGGGGAACCCUGACCGAGCAACGCCGCGUGAGUGAAGAAGGUUUUCGGAUCGUAAAGCUCUGUUGUUAAGGAAGAACGAGUGUGAGAAUGGAAAGUUCAUGCUGUGACGGUACUUAACCAGAAAGCCACGGCUAACUACGUGCCAGCAGCCGCGGUAAUACGUAGGUGGCAAGCGUUAUCCGGAAUUAUUGGGCGUAAAGCGCGCGUAGGCGGUUUUUUAAGUCUGAUGUGAAAGCCCACGGCUCAACCGUGGAGGGUCAUUGGAAACUGGAAAACUUGAGUGCAGAAGAGGAGAGUGGAAUUCCAUGUGUAGCGGUGAAAUGCGUAGAUAUAUGGAGGAACACCAGUGGCGAAGGCGACUCUCUGGUCUGUAACUGACGCUGAGGCUCGAAAGCGUGGGUAGCAAACAGG
RNAcentral lists this ribosomal RNA (430 nucleotides) under Bacteroidota bacterium. Its description in RNAcentral is "Bacteroidetes bacterium partial 16S ribosomal RNA". It matches the Rfam family "Bacterial small subunit ribosomal RNA", at positions 355 to 776 of the family's 1533-position model. The record is from RNAcentral. Lineage: Bacteria; Pseudomonadati; Bacteroidota.